ACACUCCUGCGGGAGGCAGCAGUGGGGAAUUUUGGACAAUGGGCGAAAGCCUGAUCCAGCAAUGCCGCGUGAGUGAAGAAGGCCUUCGGGUUGUAAAGCUCUUUUGUCAGGGAAGAAACGGUGAGAGCUAAUAUCUUUUGCUAAUGACGGUACCUGAAGAAUAAGCACCGGCUAACUACGUGCCAGCAGCCGCGGUAAUACGUAGGGUGCAAGCGUUAAUCGGAAUUACUGGGCGUAAAGCGUGCGCAGGCGGUUUUGUAAGUCUGAUGUGAAAUCCCCGGGCUCAACCUGGGAAUUGCAUUGGAGACUGCAAGGCUAGAAUCUGGCAGAGGGGGGUAGAAUUCCACGUGUAGCAGUGAAAUGCGUAGAUAUGUGGAGGAACACCGAUGGCGAAGGCAGCCCCCUGGGUCAAGAUUGACGCUCAUGCACGAAAGCGUGGGGAGCAAACAGGAUUAGAAACCCUAGUAGUCCCA
This 473-nucleotide ribosomal RNA is filed under the name uncultured organism. Its description in RNAcentral is "partial 16S ribosomal RNA". It matches the Rfam family "Bacterial small subunit ribosomal RNA", at positions 333 to 797 of the family's 1533-position model. The record is from RNAcentral.